AUAUCUCCUAUACUGCUGUACCGUUGCUGUACACGGUACUCGCAAUCUUGACUAUUCUCUACUCUAACGUAUUCAGGACUUGAAGGAGAGUGUUGAUAUUGAGUUGAAGAUUGAAUGGAGAUUGUUGUUCUCAACCCUGGAGUUGACAACCUGUUAGUUUGGAGCUGAAGAGGUGUAUGCUGAACCUGGGGUGAGAGCCAAAUAUUCUCAAACCAGGAAACAAAUACCCUCCUGAUCUCGUGAGCUCUGGUCAGAACGAUGACAGAAGUGAACCUUCGGAGAUAAGGGGAUCCGGUUAAAUAAACAGUCUCGUCAAGAAAUAUACCUACGUGGACGGUGCUCCACCCACUCAGUCGAUGCACCAAAUUUUCCACCGCAAGACGUGCUUUCCCUGUUCCUAGACAAUAAAUGAACUGUGGAUAUUUACAGAAAGAAGCGUGUGAGAAAUGGGUUUAUGUUUAUGUUAGGAUUAUUUUCAGGACUCCUGGCGGAGUAUAUAAGAAAAUUUCCGAUUGUUGUCAUGAUAUUCAAAUGAUUGCAUAUAUCCCAUUAAUAUACAGAUUAUAUUAUAUUCAAUGAUUACGAAUAUGAGUAUGACGACUGAGCCUGCGUCCAGCAUUUGGCGUGAGGACCUGGCCCGACCUAAUUGAAAAUUAGGUGAGAAAUGCACAAUUAGGCAACAGACAGUAAAAAUUCCGUACAAUCGUCGUUGAAAUCUCAUUCUUUGUGGGUAACCCUGUAUAUUGAACUUUAACAGAUAGAUUCAAUUUCCUUCAAAUCAAAAAAUUGAA
Molecule: long non-coding RNA, 791 nt
Organism: Eurytemora carolleeae
Lineage: Eukaryota; Metazoa; Arthropoda; Copepoda; Calanoida; Temoridae
Exons: 3
Source: RefSeq, a predicted model, not a curated record